AAGUCGUAACAAGGUUUCCGUAGGUGAACCUGCGGAAGGAUCAUCACGAGAGGUCGCCGCAAGGCGCACCACAACACUGUGUUGCCGAGCGAUGAGUGCAGUUAGCGAGAGCGCGUAGCGCGAACGCUGCUGCACACGUCUAUUGACACCAUGCAAACUGAAUCAGCCCUAAUAGCAACCAACAACAAACACAACUGUUAGCAACGGAUCACUUGGUUCUC
This 221-nucleotide unclassified non-coding RNA is filed under the name fungal sp. Its description in RNAcentral is "partial internal transcribed spacer region". The stretch from base 1 to 46 matches the Rfam family "Eukaryotic small subunit ribosomal RNA", at positions 1786 to 1831 of the family's 1831-position model. Lineage: Eukaryota; Fungi. The record is from RNAcentral.